This 115-nucleotide ribosomal RNA is filed under the name Labrus bergylta (ballan wrasse). Lineage: Eukaryota; Metazoa; Chordata; Actinopteri; Labriformes; Labridae. The record is from RNAcentral.
GCUUACGCCAUACCACCCUGAACAUGCCGAUCUCGUCCGAUCUCGGAAGCUAAGCAGGUCGGGCCUGGUUAGUACUUGGAUGGAGACCGCCUGGGAAUACCAGGUGCUGUAAGCU